AUACGUAGGGGGCGAGCGUUGUCCGGAAUGAUUGGGCGUAAAGGGCGCGUAGGCGGCCCGGUAAGUCUGGAGUGAAAGUCCUGUUUUUAAGAUGGGAAUUGCUUUGGAUACUGUCGGGCUUGCGUGCAGGAGAGGUAAGUGGAAUUCCUGGUGUAGCGGUGAAAUGCGCAGAUAUCAGGAGGAACACCGGUGGCGAAGGCGGGUCUCUGGGCAGUAACUGACGCUGAGGAGCGAAAGCAUGGGUAGCGAACAGGAUUAGAUACCCUGGUAGUCCAUGCCGUAAACGGUGGGCGCUAGGUGUAGGGGUCUUCCACGACUUCUGUGCCGUAGCUAACGCAUUAAGCGCCCCGCCUGGGGAGUACGGCCGCAAGGUUGAAACUCAAAUGAAUUGACGGGG
This 397-nucleotide ribosomal RNA is filed under the name uncultured bacterium. RNAcentral describes it as "partial 16S ribosomal RNA". It matches the Rfam family "Bacterial small subunit ribosomal RNA", at positions 523 to 918 of the family's 1533-position model. The record is from RNAcentral.